UACGUAGGGCGCAAGCGUUAUCCGGAAUUAUUGGGCGUAAAGAGCUCGUAGGCGGUUUGUCGCGUCUGCCGUGAAAGUCCGGGGCUCAACUCCGGAUCUGCGGUGGGUACGGGUAGACUAGAGUGAUGUAGGGGAGACUGGAAUUCCUGGUGUAGCGGUGAAAUGCGCAGAUAUCAGGAGGAACACCGAUGGCGAAGGCAGGUCUCUGGGCAUUAACUGACGCUGAGGAGCGAAAGCAUGGGGAGCGAACAGG
Molecule: ribosomal RNA, 253 nt
Filed under: uncultured bacterium
Lineage: Bacteria
Description: partial 16S ribosomal RNA
Rfam family: Bacterial small subunit ribosomal RNA
Source: RNAcentral